AACGAUGCCGACUAGUUGNUGGAAUUACAUUCUCAUAACGUAGCUAACGCGGAAGUCGGCCGCCGGGGAGUACGGUCGCAAGAUUAAAACUCAAAGGAAUGACGGGACCCGCACAAGCGGUGGAUGAUGUGGAUUAAUUCGAUGCAACGCGAAAAACCUUACCUACCCUUGACAUGUCACUAACGAAGUAGAGAUACAUUAGGUGCCCGUAAGGGAAAGUGAACACAGGUGCUGCAUGGCUGUCGUCAGCUCGUGUCGUGAGAUGUUGGGUUAAGUCCCGCAACGAGCGCAACCCUUGUCUUUAGUUGCUACGCAAGAGCACUCUAAAGAGACUGCCGGUGACAAACCGGAGGAAGGUGGGGAUGACGUCAAGUCCUCAUGGCCCUUAUGGGUAGGGCUUCACACGUCAUACAAUGGUGCAUACAGAGGGUUGCCAACCCGCGAGGGGGAGCUAAUCUCAGAAAAUGCAUCGUAGUCCGGAUCGUAGUCUGCAACUCGACUACGUGAAGCUGGAAUCGCUAGUAAUCGUGGAUCAGAAUGUCACGGUGAAUACGUUCCCGGGUCUUGUACACACCGCCCGUCACACCAUGGGAGCGGGUCUCGCCAGAAGUAGUUAGCCUAACCGCAAGGAGGGCGAUUACCACGGCGGGGUUCGUGACUGGGGUGAAGUCGUAACAAGGUAACCGUA
RNAcentral lists this ribosomal RNA (688 nucleotides) under uncultured bacterium. RNAcentral's name for it is "bacterial SSU rRNA". It matches the Rfam family "Bacterial small subunit ribosomal RNA", at positions 805 to 1504 of the family's 1533-position model. The record is from RNAcentral.